UUAUUUUAUCUCAGUCAUGAAAAUCAGAGCAUAGAAGCAAAUCUAAGUCAUGGGCUAUUUGUGUUUGGUAUUUUUGUUGUCUUUACAGAAGACACUUUUUCUUUCUUUUGCUGUAGAAAUUCCAAGUAAGAAAUUUUUGAGGAGAAAGAAGAUUCUAAGCUGAGACAUGUAGAAAAAGAUGUUUUGAUUCCACAAAUAAUGAGAGAGCGAGCCAAGGAGCUGUGUUCAGAUAAAGUGCAAGAAUAAAGGUGAGAGAAGUCUUUGGAAAAACUUACAUACUGACAAAUCUGUGGUGGUGGAGGCAUGUGUACAUCUGCAUUCAUGUACCAGUGGAAAAGGUACUCACAGUCAUCCAGUCAUAGCACUGAGAGGUCCCAACCAGGAAUGGUCCUUACGUAGAAGUCGGGAUACACCACGAAGAGCUUUUCAGUCCUAAGGAGACAUGGAAGACAGAAGGUUACACGGGAUUGUAAUGGUGCUGCUGAGAAGGCCACGCAUUUACUAAAUGCUGUCAAGAAACCGGUCUUCUUAUGGUGGUGAAGUGUCGGCAAGAGAACACAGCACUGAAAGACUGUCUGGUUGGCUAGUAAGUCCCUUCUAUUCUGAUCCAUUAUUCUAUGAGGAAUGCAAAACAGAAUAUUUGAAGCAAAGAGAAGAAUACAGAGCAACUGGAAUUAAGA
This is a long non-coding RNA of Pygoscelis adeliae (Adelie penguin), 680 nucleotides long. RefSeq lists it as uncharacterized. NCBI's taxonomy places the organism in Eukaryota, Metazoa, Chordata, Aves, Sphenisciformes, Spheniscidae. The record is from RefSeq and is a predicted model, not a curated record. The transcript is spliced from 6 exons.